CCUCUUAAUGGGGUGACUGCGUACCUUUUGUAUAAUGGGUCAGCGACUUAUAUUCUGUAGCAAGGUUAACCGAAUAGGGGAGCCGAAGGGAAACCGAGUCUUAACUGGGCGUUAAGUUGCAGGGUAUAGACCCGAAACCCGGUGAUCUAGCCAUGGGCAGGUUGAAGGUUGGGUAACACUAACUGGAGGACCGAACCGACUAAUGUUGAAAAAUUAGCGGAUGACUUGUGGCUGGGGGUGAAAGGCCAAUCAAACCGGGAGAUAGCUGGUUCUCCCCGAAAGCUAUUUAGGUAGCGCCUCGUGAAUUCAUCUCCGGGGGUAGAGCACUGUUUCGGCAAGGGGGUCAUCCCGACUUACCAACCCGAUGCAAACUGCGAAUACCGGAGAAUGUUAUCACGGGAGACACACGGCGGGUGCUAACGUCCGUCGUGAAGAGGGAAACAACCCAGACCGCCAGCUAAGGUCCCAAAGUCAUGGUUAAGUGGGAAACGAUGUGGGAAGGCCCAGACAGCCAGGAUGUUGGCUUAGAAGCAGCCAUCAUUUAAAGAAAGCGUAAUAGCUCACUGGUCGAGUCGGCCUGCGCGGAAGAUGUAACGGGGCUAAACCAUGCACCGAAGCUGCGGCAGCGACACUAUGUGUUGUUGGGUAGGGGAGCGUUCUGUAAGCCUGCGAAGGUGUACUGUGAGGUAUGCUGGAGGUAUCAGAAGUGCGAAUGCUGACAUAAGUAACGAUAAAGCGGGUGAAAAGCCCGCUCGCCGGAAGACCAAGGGUUCCUGUCCAACGUUAAUCGGGGCAGGGUGAGUCGACCCCUAAGGCGAGGCCGAAAGGCGUAGUCGAUGGGAAACAGGUUAAUAUUCCUGUACUUGGUGUUACUGCGAAGGGGGGACGGAGAAGGCUAUGUUGGCCGGGCGACGGUUGUCCCGGUUUAAGCGUGUAGGCUGGUUUUCCAGGCAAAUCCGGAAAAUCAAGGCUGAGGCGUGAUGACGAGGCACUACGGUGCUGAAGCAACAAAUGCCCUGCUUCCAGGAAAAGCCUCUAAGCAUCAGGUAACAUCAAAUCGUACCCCAAACCGACACAGGUGGUCAGGUAGAGAAUACCAAGGCGCUUGAGAGAACUCGGGUGAAGGAACUAGGCAAAAUGGUGCCGUAACUUCGGGAGAAGGCACGCUGAUAUGUAGGUGAAGUCCCUCGCGGAUGGAGCUGAAAUCAGUCGAAGAUACCAGCUGGCUGCAACUGUUUAUUAAAAACACAGCACUGUGCAAACACGAAAGUGGACGUAUACGGUGUGACGCCUGCCCGGUGCCGGAAGGUUAAUUGAUGGGGUUAGCGCAAGCGAAGCUCUUGAUCGAAGCCCCGGUA
This 1358-nucleotide ribosomal RNA is filed under the name Escherichia coli. RNAcentral describes it as "bacterial LSU rRNA". It matches the Rfam family "Bacterial large subunit ribosomal RNA", at positions 581 to 1925 of the family's 2925-position model. Lineage: Bacteria; Pseudomonadati; Pseudomonadota; Gammaproteobacteria; Enterobacterales; Enterobacteriaceae. The record is from RNAcentral.